RNAcentral lists this ribosomal RNA (384 nucleotides) under uncultured bacterium. Its description in RNAcentral is "bacterial SSU rRNA". It matches the Rfam family "Bacterial small subunit ribosomal RNA", at positions 29 to 414 of the family's 1533-position model. The record is from RNAcentral.
AUUGAACGCUGGCGGAAUGCUUUACACAUGCAAGUCGAGCGGCAGCGCGGGGGCAACCCUGGCGGCGAGCGGCGAACGGGUGAGUAAUACAUCGGAACGUACCCUGUCGUGGGGGAUAACACAUCGAAAGAUGUGCUAAUACCGCAUACGACCUGAGGGUGAAAGCGGGGGACCGUAAGGCCUCGCGCGAUAGGAGCGGCCGAUGGCGGAUUAGCUAGUUGGUGAGGUAAAGGCUCACCAAGGCGACGAUCCGUAGCUGGUCUGAGAGGAUGAUCAGCCACACUGGAACUGAGACACGGUCCAGACUCCUACGGGAGGCAGCAGUGGGGAAUUUUGGACAAUGGGGGCAACCCUGAUCCAGCCAUUCCGCGUGAGUGAAGAAGG